This 227-nucleotide long non-coding RNA is filed under the name Elaeis guineensis (African oil palm). RNAcentral describes it as "long non-coding RNA (EGUI_LNC004523)". Lineage: Eukaryota; Viridiplantae; Streptophyta; Magnoliopsida; Arecales; Arecaceae. The record is from RNAcentral.
GGCCAACCAAUUGAUAAUCGACGGUUCGUGCUUGUUAGACCGAUUAAAAGUCGGAAUCGAGGGAGUCAGUUGAAUUGCCCCAAUAGUUGCCCCUACUCCCAAGUCCAAAGUAGCCUGACAUGUGGAUUGGCAUGUGGUUUGACACAUUGGACGAAGGAAGUUGCCACGUGUUAUCUCGAGCCCCAAUUCGACUGCAGACAUUAAUGAUUUCUUUGAAAAAAAAUGAA